AGGAGCGGGUGAAGAGUGUGGAAGCGUGUCCGGGGUCUAGGUCAAAGUCUCCCUGGUUAAGUCUUGAAGGAUUAAUAGGAUGAGAGAAGAGAGACUGUGGUGAUGAAUUCUAAGCAUGGAGACCAGCAAAAGUCAUCUUGGGACAUGAGAGAAUAUGAUGCAUCUGGACUAUGCCAGCAAGAAAGCAAGAUGUUUUGUCGGAUGAUCCAGAGAGCACUAAAUCCUGCCAACAGCUACAUGAAUUUUGAAAGAGAAUCUUCCCUGAUAAGACUUCAGUGCUGGCUAACAUCCUUCUGAGGGACACCAAAGCGGAAGAGCCAGUUAAGCUGUAUCCAUAUUCCUGAUUCACAGGAACC
Molecule: long non-coding RNA, 356 nt
Organism: Suricata suricatta (meerkat)
Lineage: Eukaryota; Metazoa; Chordata; Mammalia; Carnivora; Herpestidae
Exons: 3
Source: RefSeq, a predicted model, not a curated record